AUGGAGCGAGCUGAGAGCUCGAGUACAGAACCUGCUAAGGCCAUCAAACCUAUUGAUCGGAAUGGACCAGCAUGCCACGGAUGAGAAGUAUAA
RNAcentral lists this small RNA (93 nucleotides) under Pongo abelii (Sumatran orangutan). RNAcentral describes it as "processed transcript". The record is from RNAcentral. Lineage: Eukaryota; Metazoa; Chordata; Mammalia; Primates; Hominidae.